GAUGAACGCUGGCGGUAUGCUUAACACAUGCAAGUCGAACGGUCACUUCGGUGAUAGUGGCGGACGGGUGAGUAACGCGUGAGAAUCUGUCUUCAGGUCGGGGACAACAGUUAGAAAUGACUGCUAAUACCGGAUGUGCCUUUGGGUGAAAGAUUUAUUGCCUGAAAAAGAGCUCGCGUCAGAUUAGCUAGUAGGUGGUGUAAGAGGCUACCUAGGCUCCGAUCUGUAGCUGGUCUGAGAGGACGAUCAGCCACACUGGAACUGAGACACGGUCCAGACUCCUACGGGAGGCAGCAGUGGGGAAUUUUCCGCAAUGGGCGAAAGCCUGACGGAGCAAUACCGCGUGAGGGACGAAGGCUUUUGGGUCGUAAACCUCUUUUCUCAAGGAAGAUGAUGACGGUACUUGAGGAAUAAGCAUCGGCUAACUCUGUG
RNAcentral lists this ribosomal RNA (432 nucleotides) under uncultured bacterium. RNAcentral describes it as "partial 16S ribosomal RNA". It matches the Rfam family "Bacterial small subunit ribosomal RNA", at positions 28 to 507 of the family's 1533-position model. The record is from RNAcentral.